Molecule: transfer RNA, 73 nt
Filed under: Salmo salar (Atlantic salmon)
Lineage: Eukaryota; Metazoa; Chordata; Actinopteri; Salmoniformes; Salmonidae
Rfam family: tRNA
About the family: Transfer RNA (tRNA) molecules are approximately 80 nucleotides in length.
Source: Rfam by way of RNAcentral
CCCCCUGUGGCUCAGUUGGUAGAGCAUGGUGUUUGCAAUGCCAGGGUUGUGGGUUCGAUUCCCACGGGGGGGC